Molecule: long non-coding RNA, 130 nt
Organism: Sander lucioperca (pikeperch)
Lineage: Eukaryota; Metazoa; Chordata; Actinopteri; Perciformes; Percidae
Exons: 3
Source: RefSeq, a predicted model, not a curated record
CUCUAGUGGCUAGACUCAGUUCAGUCACUUUAUUAUCCCAAAUGGGGAAACUUGAUCUGCAGUCAGGAGUGCAAGAUUAAAAAAAACACAUACAAACAACCUACGAAUAAACAAAAAGACAACAGCACAA